GGACGCUACAGGACAAGUUUAUUUCUGCAUGCUUCUAACAUCCUCAGAGCCAGCCUCCUGAGCUGGGACAGGAAGCCAGGUGCCCCAGGUCAAGCACAAGGAGCGGCCAGUCCUGUUCCUGGCUGUGGUCUGAUUAGCACAGGCUGCUCUUGUCCUGACAUCAUGCCACAGUGAGUGACCUCUGCGGUCUCCCAGAGAUGGGGACGAUUACAUAACCGGAGCAAUUAUGCAAAAGGAGUUGGGCCUGCAGCCUGGAACGGAGGGGAAGCACUGAGGACAAAGACAGAGGAACCAUUCAACUGGAUCCAGCAUCCAGGCCACAGCACAAAUCACUCUCAGGAAACUUCCGGGCUUCUCCUGGGCUCUUCUGAGGCAUCCCAUCACCUCAUCCUAAGAAGACAAACAGUGACUUCAAGGUUGCUUCAGAACCACAUCCAAAGUAAGGGUUCAACAGACACUGCUGAUUGAGCAAGUGACUCAAGUUGGGACUGCAGAGCCAUGAGGCUCCUCCUUUGGGGUGCAUUCCAAGUGGAUGGAGAAGGCUGGUGUGGCAGAAAAGAAACAGACCUUGGACUCAGGAAGAAUUGGGGUCUAAUUGUAGCUCUGCCUCUACCAGGUAGGUGAAAACCAGUUAAAAGUACCCAAGCUUCAGUGUG
Molecule: long non-coding RNA, 656 nt
Filed under: Ictidomys tridecemlineatus (thirteen-lined ground squirrel)
Lineage: Eukaryota; Metazoa; Chordata; Mammalia; Rodentia; Sciuridae
Description: lncRNA (ENSSTOG00000032285.1)
Source: RNAcentral